This is a long non-coding RNA of Pistacia vera, 592 nucleotides long. RefSeq lists it as uncharacterized. The record is from RefSeq and is a predicted model, not a curated record. The transcript is spliced from 4 exons. NCBI's taxonomy places the organism in Eukaryota, Viridiplantae, Streptophyta, Magnoliopsida, Sapindales, Anacardiaceae.
CAAGGGAAAGCAAUGGAGCCGAAGAAGAGGAAGUAACUCAGUGUACUGAACAAUUAAUGGACUCACUCCAUAUAUGCUACCAUCCCUUCAUUAUUUGUUGGAAAUGCAAGUACAGGAGGGGAAGUGAAUCAGAAGUUAAUCAUGCCCUGAGUACAGGAGUGUAGAUUUACCACUAAUCAGGACUCAUGAAGGAUAAUGCUACACCAGGAAGUACCUCAACUGAAGAAAAAGUUGAGAUUGUGAUUGCUCCACCUGAUAAGAAACUGGCUGUUACGUUUUGACAUUGGAAUGAAUGCUAAUAUCUUCCUUUUCUGAAUACAUACCCUUUUACAAUCCUUCAUGUAACCAAUUCUUUAAAUUUUGCUAACAGUACUAUUUUUCUUUUAUUUUGAAUCAUCAGAGUUUAAUGUGGAUGUCUCGAAGGAGUCUUCAAUCUCAAUGGUACUAUGUGGGAAUGUUAACCAAAAACAAAUUGGAUCUUCAACUAGAGAAGAAGAACCUGUGCUGGUAAUAAAUUCUACAUCAUCCUCAGAAGCUGAAAGAAUUUACGAGGAAGAUAAAGAUUAUAUAGCAGCUAAGCUAUCAAAGGAAG